UGCCAGACUCCUACGGGAGGCAGCAGUGGGGAAUAUUGCACAAUGGGGGAAACCCUGAUGCAGCGACGCCGCGUGAGCGAUGAAGUAUUUCGGUAUGUAAAGCUCUAUCAGCAGGGAAGAAAAUGACGGUACCUGACUAAGAAGCCCCGGCUAACUACGUGCCAGCAGCCGCGGUAAUACGUAGGGGGCAAGCGUUAUCCGGAUUUACUGGGUGUAAAGGGAGCGUAGACGGCUGUGCAAGCCAGAUGUGAAAGCCCGGGGCUCAACCCCGGGACUGCAUUUGGAACUGUGUGGCUGGAGUGUCGGAGAGGCAGGCGGAAUUCCUAGUGUAGCGGUGAAAUGCGUAGAUAUUAGGAGGAACACCAGUGGCGAAGGCGGCCUGCUGGACGAUGACUGACGUUGAGGCUCGAAAGCGUGGGGAGCAAACAGGAUUAGAUACCCCGGUAAC
Molecule: ribosomal RNA, 448 nt
Filed under: uncultured bacterium
Lineage: Bacteria
Description: bacterial SSU rRNA
Rfam family: Bacterial small subunit ribosomal RNA
Source: RNAcentral